RNAcentral lists this long non-coding RNA (42313 nucleotides) under Hordeum vulgare. RNAcentral describes it as "long non-coding RNA (HVUL_LNC001688)". Lineage: Eukaryota; Viridiplantae; Streptophyta; Magnoliopsida; Poales; Poaceae. The record is from RNAcentral.
UACCACUGGCAUCCUGGGGUGUUACAGUUGGUAUUUUACUAUUUUAUUGUGCAAUUGCAUUAAUUUAACCUAAUGCUAUUUUUGUCCAGAUGUACUAUACUAUGAUCUGUGUAAAAUGUGUCCUUUUCGUAUAUAUUUGUAGGAGAUGGCUGAGAAUGCGUCCACAACUUUCAAUGUUCAUGUUCCUGAAUUUGUUGAUGCUAUAUGGGUAGCACUGAGAGACCCCAAACAGGCUGUGCGCGAACGAGCAGUGGAAGCCUUGCGUGCUUGUCUUCAUGUUAUAGAAAAGCGGGAGACACGGUGGCGUGUACAGUGGUAAGCACAUAUUUAUCCUCACCAUUAUCGCUGUAUUGUAUGAGACAACAACAACAACAACAACAACCAAGCCUUUCAGUCCCAAACAAGUUGGGGUAGGCUAGAGUUGAAACCCAUAAGAUCUCGAAGCCAAGUCAUGGCUCUGGAACGUGGAUAGCUAACUUCCACGCACCCCUGUCCAUGGCUAAGUCUUUGUCGAUAUUCCAAACCUUUAGGUCUCUCUUAACGGACUCCUCCCAUGUCAAGUUUGGUCUACCACGACCCCUCUUAACAUUCUCAGCACGCUUUAUCCGUCCGCUAUGCACCGGCGCUUCCGGUGGCCUCCGUUGAAUAUGUCCAAACCAUCUGAGACGAUGCUGGACCAGCUUCUCUUCAAUCGGUGCUACCCCAAGUCUCUCUCGUAUAUCGUCAUUCCGUACCCGAUCCUUCCUUGUGUGGCCACAUAUCCAUCUCAACAUGCGCAUCUCUGCUACACCUAACUGUUGGAUAUGUCGUCUCUUGGUUGGCCAACACUCCGCGCCAUACAACAUCGCAGGUCGGAUAGCUGUCCUAUAAAACCUGCCUUUUAGCUUUUGUGGCACUCUCUUGUCACAGAGUACGCCAGAAGCUUGGCGCCACUUCAUCCACCCAGCCUUGAUUCGGUGGCCCACGUCUUCAUCGAUAUCGCCAUCCUUCUGCAACAUGGACCCCAAAUAUCGAAACGUGUCUCUCUCCGGUACCACCUGCCCACCAAGGCUAACCUCUCCAUCCUCGUGCCUAGUAGCACUAAAACUGCACGUCAUGUAUUCAGUUUUAGUUCUACUAAGCCUAAAACCUUUCGAUUCUAGAGUCCGCCUCCAUAACUCUAACUUUCUAUUAACCCCCGUUCGGCUAUCAUCGACUAGCACCACAUCAUCCGCAAAGAGCAUACACCAUGGGAUAUCUCCUUGUAUAUCCCUUGUGACCUCAUCCAUCACCAAAUCAAAAAGAUAAGGGCUCAAAGCUGACCCUUGGUGUAGCCCUAUUCUAAUCGGAAAGUCAUCGGUGUCGCCAUCACUUGUUCGAACACUUGUCACAACAUUAUCAUACAUAUCCUUGAUGAGGGUAAUGUACUUUAUUGGGACUUUGUGUUUCUCCAAGGCCCACCACAUGACAUUCCGAGGUAUCUUAUCAUAGGCCUUCUCCAAAAUCAAUGAACACCAUAUGAAGGUCCUUCUUGUGGUGGUUAAGAGGAUUGUUAUGGUGCUUAGUCUAUUAACUCUUAUUUUUACCAAAUACUGUGACCCCAUGUUUACUUGGAGUGAUCACUCAUCCAUUCCACUAAGUUUGGGAAUAACUUUUUGGCCAAAAUUGCAAAUUGAAAGUGAUAUCAAGACUUUGGUAACUUCUUACAUUCAACCCCAUCCAUGCUCCCCACUAACUACUCUUAUGACUAGCUAACACUUGUUAAGCAUCUUGUUGAUGGUUGAUGUAUCCCAUCUUCUAAGGAUUAAACAUAUGUUGCAUUGCAUGGGGUUCAAUCUACCAUUGGGUCUAAAGAGAUUAUAUAUUGCAUUUGGUUGUAAAAUUACACAUUGUGUCCCUCAGAAACCUAUUUAUGCCAGUUUGUUAGGAACAAUUUCCAAAGCACAUCGUGGUCGUUUAUUUGUCGCAAAUCACUGACCAUGUACUUCUGGGAUACCAUUUUGCAAUGUGAUUCAUCUACAUGUUGGUCAUUGGUCUCUUCAGCCAACAAUUCAACUUCUCUGAUUAGUGAUGAGCCGAGCCUUUCUCUUAGUAUUGCAGCAAUGCCAAGUACACCCAACUCUGAUUUGCAGUUUGUGUACCACACUACCACUGAUUUCGGUGUGUGUACCACUGUAUCUCUGCUCUGUGUAGUUUUUAUAGAAAUUAGUAGCUGGCAUGCUGCUACCUUGGUGACCUGACUAGACUAUAUGAGCUAAGAAUAUUGCCAUUUUGUCUAUCUUAUUUUUUUCAUGAUGUUAUGUUACCAGGUAUUACCGCAUGUGUGAAGCAGCACAAGUGGGACUUGGAAAAAAUGCUUCUGUUCAUAGCAUCCAUGGCUCAUUAUUGGCUGUUGGAGAAUUGUUGAGGUAACUUAAAGUUGAUUUUGCAGUGAUUUUCCCCGGAAGUUUGUCACAAUAUUCAUACUGCCGCAAGUUUUUUUUUCUUAUGUCUGUUUGCUAGUGUACCAUAUUUUCCUGUAUUUCUUUUACUAUGGAACACAUGUCUAACUUCUGGCAUUUAUGAUCAUCAAUAUAGCAAAACAGCAUCAACCCAUUUUUUUUCUUGUGGCAACAAUACACAGCUUUGCGUACUCUGAUUCUGUUGCAUGAAAAUGUUGCAGGAACACUGGGGAAUUUAUGAUGUCUAGGUACAGAGAAGUGGCUGAUAUAGUCCUCACGUACUUAAAACACCGGGAUCAGCUUGUUCGUCGUAGUAUAACAUCUCUUCUUCCUCGAAUUGCUCACUUCCUGCGAGACAGAUUUGUGACCAACUACCUUAAGGUUUUCCCUGCUGCUAAAUUUCUUGAACGAAACCAUUUUUCUUCUCUUAACCAUUUUUCUUCUCUUUUGCACCUUAUAUGAUUCAUUUUUUGUAUCAUUUUUUUUUAAUUUUGAAGUUGUAACAGAAACAUAAUAGUUUGAAAACCAUGCCAUAGCUUGACACAUAUUGUUCUCAUUCCCAGAUAUGCAUGGAACAUAUCCUGUUUGUUCUACGUACCCCGGAUGAGCGUGCUAGUGGGUUUGUUGCUCUGGGAGAGAUGGCUGGUGCUUUGGGUGCAGAACUUGUGCCCAGUUUGCCCUCAAUUACCCCACUUUUGCAUGAAGCAGUAUGCUUCAGAACCCUUUUGUACUCUGGUGUUUAUUUGAACUUUGCCUUGCUUAAUGGUGUGUUUCUAUUUGCAGAUUGCUCCUCGCAGAGGACGGCCAUCUCUUGAGGCUAUUACUUGUGUUGGAAGCUUCGCAAAAGCCAUGGGUCUUGCAAUGGAGCGCCAUAUUCGUGGUGGGCUGCUGGAUGCCAUGUUUUCUGCUGGUCUUUCUGAUAAACUUGUAGAUGCACUUGAGUCUAUAAGUACUAGGUAUUGUUUCUUGGUUUGAAUUCUCUUGCUUUAUUCUGUCUUUGGCAUGAAAACAUCACCUUCCCAUUUUCCUACAGCAUCCCGUCUCUACUGCCAACAAUACAAGAGCGUUUGUUGGAUUGUAUAGCUCAAGCACUUCCAAAGUCAUCUACGAGGUCCGGUUCUACUGUUAUUCGAGCAACCAGAUCCAACAGUUUGCAGCAGUUUGUGGAUUCUAGUGGUCCAGUGCUUGUCCAACUUGCUCUGCGUACCCUAGCAAACUUUAACUUUAAGGUUUGAAAUGCUCCACUGAGCUGUGUGAUUGUCAUCAUCUUCAGAUUUUAAAUUAUGCAGUGGUUUCAGGGUCAUGAGCUCCUGGAAUUGGCAAGAGAGAGUGUCAUCCUUUAUCUGGAAGAUGAGGAUAGCAGUACCCGAAAAGCUGCUGCGAUAUGCUGUUGCAGAUUAGUUGCACACUCUCUUUCUGCUUCGUCUACUUCACAGUUCAGUUCAAAUAGGUCAAAUCGUAUGGGAGGAGCUAAGCGCCGUCGUCUUAUAGAAGAGGUUUGUCUUCAACUUCAUCAUGUGCUCAUUAAUUAUCUGACAUGCAUAUUGAAGCUAUCCUGUUUGAUGCUUAAAAUUACUACUUAGGCCCCCUUUGUUUGGGCUACAGAUUCCUGAAAAUCACUUGUGCCUAGGAUUUUGAGAAUCGGAAUCUGAGUGUUUGUUUACCCUGCUGUAGAAAAUUCACGACUACUGUGAAAUGUCCAGAACGCCCCGAAUGAACAAAUGUUCAGUAAUAAAACUUGCAAAAACUUAUCACAUUCAUCAAACAAUUAAUAAAUUUACUAAUUCACUCGUUCAUGCAUACCUGCACAUUCUGGACACACAUGAUCUGAGCAAAAAAUUCCAUGGAAGAGGAAAACAAAUGCCUAUCAACAGAAAAGGUAGACAUGCUACAAACAGUACCAAUACGUUGGUGUUGAACGCGCUGGUGUACGGCGGACGGAAGGAGUGUCCGUGAUUGCCUCCGAGCAGCGGCUGUUAGCUCGCCUCCGGGCAGCAGUUGUUGCUCGCCUCCAUCCAAGCAACCGACAAGGACCAUGAUGGCAACCUCGGACCAGAGCGACUCCGCCGAGCACCGUUCCCAGCGCCGUACGUGGGUGCUACGCAGCAGAGCACCAUCCCCACCGUCGUACGUAGUUGCUGAGCCGCCGAGCACAACCUCAUGUGGAUCUGGCCGGCGAGCAGCAGGACACCACCAGUCUCCAUGGUCGCGAACCCGCGAGGUCGAGGAGGAAGGGGAGAAGGCAGACGGCGGCCGUCCCUGGUGUGGCUCCUAGCUGGACGAUCUUGGGGCGGGGCGAGCAAGGACGAGGCGGUGGCUGGGUGAGUAGAUCGGGAGAGACGAGAGCUGAGUGGCUAGGGUGGUUUGCUCGGGUGAGGGUUACGAUGGCAAUUUGGCUGUAAUUCUGACUGGAAACAGGGGCAGAGGCUGAAAACGAAUCGUUUUAUUUUGAGGAAGCCGCAGAAUCGCUGGAAUCACCAAAAUCGCUACUUCCGGAUUUCGCUGCAUGGUAGUCCAUUUUCUAGAAUCGAUUCUGGAAUGCUAGCUAGGAAUCUGAUCUGUCUGUUUGAGAUACUGAUUUUGAAAGGUCAAGAAUCUAGAAUCAGUAGCUGUAGCCCAAACAAAGGUCACCUUACUAGACAUGCCUGCUGUAACAUGUAUUUUUUUGGAAGAGCUGAGGUAAACGUUUUGAAAUGAGUUAUUAUUAACUGCAUGUGCAAUUGUUUCAUUAGUACUUUCAGAAGCCAUAGUCACAGAUAAAAUCCAAAGUCUCAGUUUCUAUGCAAGCAUGUUGUGAAGCAUGCCCUUCUUGACAAGACUUGGUUAUUCAAUAUAACAUUCAAGCAUGUGGUGAAGCAUAUCUUUCCUGAUUGGACUUUUCUUGAAAAUUCGUUACAUGAUACUGCUUCAGCUUGCCACAUUAAGUACCAUAUCUAAACUUCGGUACUGCCAUCUAAAAUUGCUUACAUGAUACUGCUUCAGCUUGCCACCCUUUGUUUUACUACUUCCGGUAACAUCAUACACGACUUUUUGCAUUUGAUGUGAAGCUAAUAAUUUGUUGAACCAUCAUGCAAAUUUCUGCUAUUGAUAUAAUAAGAAGUGUAUAUUUACUCUGAACUAUUAGCUGAAAAAACUGAAGCAACAAUUUUUAACACAGGCAAGCUGAAAUUAACCAUAAUUCAUUAAUGAAUUUCUUGAUUUUGUAUUUUCCAGUUUGAAAACAUAAGUUGACCUGGUAAUAGCGUUCGAAAGAAACAUAUAAAAGAUUCAAGCAGCCUUCGGCGACCAUUUAUCCUUGUUCCUUUAAAGUAAAUUAUGUUUUUGCUCUACAACACAUGAUCACUUGUCCUCUGAGAAAAAACAUGUCAACAACUAUAGCAUGCUUACUGUGGAACCUCAUCAUAGCCUUGGUCAGCUCUCUCUCAUAGUCCUACUGCACAUGUCUCUUAUCUUUGUGAAAUGGCUAUUUCUAAGUAAAAAGCGGACUUAUAUUGUGAAAUGGAGGAAUUGCAUUCUCAUCAAAAAUCAUUGGUACCCUCAACACAAAUUUCACACCUGGACAUAGAAAUGGCAUUAACUGGCUACUCCAUAUACUAAUUAGCCUUAGGGUAUGGAUAAUAUAUUAGAGACAAUUCACUAGUAUCAGUUGGUACAUGUUUCAGUUUGACUUACAUGGAAAUGUAGAAUGCGAGAAACUGAGUUUGACUUACAUGGAAAUGUAGAAUGCGAGAAACUGAGUUAACAUCUCAUAAGAUAUGACAUGGUAGACGACUCCUACCAUCUUCCAUUCAACUGUAUGUUAAUUAUGGAUGUAUGUCUGUAUGAAAUUUACAAUUUAACCAUGAAUGAUGAUUUUUUUUAAUACUGCAUGAGUAAAGUUUCUCAUGGGGAACUGUAGUAUUUAUAAACAUUGACAUGAAGCAAACCAUGUAUGAGAAGAUGAUAGGCUGUAAAAGGGUAGAGGUGGUUCGCAUCGUAUCUGGCACAUCUGUGAACUAGGAUAAUUAUACCUGUUAACAUAUUUCAUGAUUGUGUAACUUGCCUCACACAUACUAUGUGUGCGACGAUAUGCAUUUCCAGAAACAAGGUUAGGCAGACAACAUGAGACAUCAGGUAUAUCAUGUUAGAAAAUGGAAAUGCAUCAUGUAGACAAUACUUGAGGAUCAGAAGAGCAGCAGACUCGGUACUACCAUGGCAUCAGAACAUUUAGAGCCUCUACCCGCCAUUCUCUAUAGCAAAUCACUAAUGUACCUAGUAACUGCAUUACUGUCUUUAUUAACAAAUCGUCAGAUGUACUUAGUUACUGCCUUAUUAGACAACAUCAAGUGAGCAUGCUAGGAAUCACUAGAUGUAAAUGGACCAGAAGAUUGAAGCUGGCCUAACUGGAGGAGGCAGUGGGUUCAUAGAGUGGAGUUCAGAGGCUGCAUUGACUAGGAAGAAUGGGAGGGAGGAGGUGGCACAAUGGCUGUUGGAGGCGGUGGUGUCGAGUGAGUGCGUCGGGUGGAGGCAAGGGUUAGUUUGUUGGGUUAAUACAGAAUGAUUGGGCCUACACAGGAAGGACCUGCAAUCAGGAGCUUGUCCUGUGUGAUAGUCAGUCAUGCUUAAGCCAUCGAUCCCUGUCAGUUACACAUUAUUUUCAGAUUUGGACUCGGUUUAUGGGAGCUGCACACUUUAUGUUGCGUCAUAGGCACUAUAAGGCCCCGUUUGAUAGCAAAGUAUUUUGAGAAUACUACAGUUCUUUUAAAUUACCUUAGUUUUAUUUACAGUGAGCUGUUUGGUUGCCCUAACAACUGUGAUUUUAAUACUGCAGUGUUGAACAAACUAUGUUUUUUCUCUGUACAAUAAAAAGAACCCAAGACCUCUUUGAAAAAAACAGAGCAGCCGGAAAGAAGGGACUGGCGUCGUUAUCCUUCCCUGCUCUGCUCAACAACUCGCUCUGGCCUCGUUCUAAGUGAUCAUUUUGUUAUGAAAGCAACUUAUCUUUAUUGAAGGCCCAAGGGGCAUAUAUAUAUUACACAAGACUUGAGGUGCAAGGAAAGUAAANUUCCUAACAACCCCCCCCCCCCCCUUCCUCAAAUGCAAAGCGUAUGCAAUAGCAUUGCAUUUGAAGAAGUGUAAUACUAAAGAAAGUUGAUAAUCCAAAUUCGCGUCUUGGGAGUGUCAUCGUACCAUGAAGAGUCUUCAAAACCUGUCGAGUCAAGCCAAAGGGUUGUGAAAAGAAGAUNNNNNNNNNNNNNNNNNNNNNNNNNNNNNNNNNNNNNNNNNNNNNNNNNNNNNNNNNNNNNNNNNNNNNNNNNNNNNNNNNNNNNNNNNNNNNNNNNNNNNNNNNNNNNNNNNNNNNNNNNNNNNNNNNNNNNNNNNNNNNNNNNNNNNNNNNNNNNNNNNNNNNNNNNNNNNNNNNNNNNNNNNNNNNNNNNNNNNNNNNNNNNNNNNNNNNNNNNNNNNNNNNNNNNNNNNNNNNNNNNNNNNNNNNNNNNNNNNNNNNNNNNNNNNNNNNNNNNNNNNNNNNNNNNNNNNNNNNNNNNNNNNNNNNNNNNNNNNNNNNNNNNNNNNNNNNNNNNNNNNNNNNNNNNNNNNNNNNNNNGGGUUGUGAAAAGAAGAUGGCACAUCAGAGGAAGACACCACAUCACUUGAAGAUACAACAUAAGUAUCAAUAGAAGAUGGGUUGUGAAAAGAAGAUGGCACAUCAAGAGAAUAAAGCGUUGCGCAGAAAAUCAUAGUCCACGACAACCGUCGGCGAAAGAAGCUCGGCGGAUAAGGCAUGAUGGACGUAGAUCGACAAUGCAAAAGAAGUCUAGAAAAUCCUAUAGAAAACAACAAGGGCAAAUAGGCCACAAAAGUUGUAUAGAAAUGAUCAGGACCGGAGAAAGGCUGACGGACAAUGAUAUGGUGGACUCCCAUGGCAUGAGAAACACAAAAUAUCAACCGAUUUGAUGGACGCAGCGAAAAAUAUAAAAAACUAGAGAGCUAGGAAGCAUAUGCUAGACGAAAAUGCAAAAGCCAUCGUGAAAGCAGACUGUGUAAAUGAGAUGCUGACAAAGGAGCAGCAAAAAGGAGCACUUGACACAUGAGGGUGUAGCAAUAGCAGCAGCAAGCACACACACGUUGGAUGGAGGGCAGCAGCCACGUGCUAGGCAUAGGCUACACAUGCGAGCAGUAGGAGAGCAGCAUAUCUGCAUGGCUUCGCACAGACUUGCAGAUUGGGCAGCUCGCGCGCUGAUCUUGCGGGCGGACGGAUUGGAACGGCGCCAUACCAGUCAACGCAGGUAAGGCCGGCACGAUUGGCUUGAGCUCAUGGCGUCUGAGAUCCAAUAAGACGACGGCGGAGAGCUCCUGCAUGAGAGGUGGCUGCCGGAUCCGCAUGCGUUGAUUGACCUGCAGACAUGGAGAGCUGGGCGGCAGCGGAGAUGAGCCAGACGGGCAGGGGCAGUGGCAACGCGGGGAGCAGGGACCGGCGGUGGGAGGAGUAAUCAGUGCACGAGUUGCACAGAUCGAUCUAAGAUCAGAAAAAAAAUCAAUUGGGAGAGGAGGACGAGUUGCGCGUCCGAGGAGAAGACCUAAACCUAGGCUCUAAUACCAUGUUAUGCAACCAACUUAUCUUUAUUGAAGGCCCAAGGGGCACAUAUAUAUAUAUAUAUAUAUUACACAAGACUUGAGGUGCAAGGAAAGUAAACAUAGACUAAAGGGCUCCUAGAUCAACACUAAUACUUCCUAACACAUUCCUCUGAUGCAUUUUGGUUGACAUAAUAUUGAUCAUAUUGGCAUUCUUGUAUCCCUCUGCAGAUAGUGGAAAAACUUCUUAUUGCUGCAGUUGCUGAUGCUGAUGUUGGUGUUAGGAGUUCAGUCUUCAGGGCUCUGUACCGUAAUCCAACUUUUGAUGAUUUCCUGGCCCAAGCUGAGAUCCUGACUUCAAUUUUUGUUGCCUUAAAUGAUGAGGUACACUGUAUGACAUGUUUAUCAGUUACCAUAUAGAUAUGUUACCAGAUGCUUUCGGCACAUUUGUUAAGUUUGUUCUUAUUUUUCUUCUUUUAUGGAAGUACUAUUAUUUUGGAGCAGGGACGUUAUGGAAGUAGUGUUUAAAUACCACAUCUUCGUUCUUGGUUAUUAUAUCCAUGCUCAGAAAUAUCUACAUUAGGACCCGGACAUUUUGUUGUUCUCUUUGCACUAUUCCAGUUCACGUUCCCUUCAUAUAUCUGUUAGUAGCAAGUACUCCCUCCGUUCCUUUAUGUAAGGUGUAUAAUUUUGGCGCGGUAACCAAGGCACAUAAUUAUAGAAAAUUUAGAACAAGAGUACUCUGAGCUAUUUCGUUGACUAGCGGCAAGUAAAUCGUUUAGGCUAGGAAAGGAAGAGAUACACACAAUCGGGAGGGAUACACUUUCCUUUUUUUCUCUAACAAAGAGAGAUACAUGCAAUCGGGGGAUAGAUACUUUCCAUUUUUUGGAGGGUUAAAAAUGGAAUUACGUGGAAAUAUAAGAAAUGCACCUUACAUUGUGAAAUUUUAUCAAAAAGUAAAUACACAUUAUAUAAAGGAACAGAAGGAGUAAUUUGUAAACAUUAUGACCCCUGCUAUUGCUGACAUUUUUUUUCCUUUUCUCCAUGAUUUAGGAGUACGGUGUAAGAGAAUUGGCAAUUUUAGUUGCAGGCAGAUUGUCUGAAAAAAACCCUGCAUAUGUAAUGCCUGCCCUUCGUCGCUAUCUUAUACAGUUGCUCACCUAUCUUGACCAAAGGUUUGUAGCAUCUAAAAUUCGUGCUGGUUUCAAUUCAUAUUGUGUUACUACAGCCUCAUGCUUCGAAAUAUCUUUGUUGUCUGCAGUAUGGAUAGCAAGUGUAGAGAGGAAAGUGCUAGAUUGUUGGGCUGCUUAAUUAGGAGCUGUCCACGGCUAAUACUUCCUUAUAUUGCUCCAAUUCACAAGGUUAGUAAGACAUGAGAUCAUUUACACUGUUUCUUGUGCUAGCCUUCCCACGUCAUGUUUUCUGUCAGGCGCUGGUGGCUAGACUUUGUGAAGGAACAGGACCAAUGGCCAAUACUGUGCUUGCUGCAGGAGUGCUUGCCACUGUUGGAGAAUUGGCGAAAGUGGUAUGUCUUUCUCUAUCAUGUGAUGUUUGGUUCAUUUAGCCCCUCUACUUUUACAAAAGUUCAAAUUGGUCCAAUCGUGUCGGGUAACAAAGGGUCCAACCAGGACUUCUGAAUUGUGAUAAUUUAUGUUCUGCGUGAUAGGGUGGUUUUGCAAUGAGGCAAUAUCUUCCUGAGCUAAUGCCUCUGGUUGUGGAUGCUCUUUUGGAUGGAGGUUCUGUGAGCAAAAGGGAAGUUGCGGUAGCAACCCUUGGACAAGUUAUUCAAAGCACAGGGUACAUGCCUUUUUUGUCUUCUCAUUUGUGUGCAUAUUGAGUUGCAUAUUUCAAAUUGACAACAUGAUAUCAAUUCUAUAUCACAAGAUUUUCGCUGUUAAAUUUUUCUGCCUGUCCAUGGAAGUUUGUUAUUGCUUUGUUCUUGUUAGUGUUGUUUAGCGUUGUUAUCUACUCCAAACUUGAGGUUUGAAAUAGUAAUAGUGACCUUAGUUUCAGAAAAAAAGUAAAUGUGAGUAUUCUUAGUAUUUUGUGAGCAAUAUAAUAUAUUUUCUCCGUCUCGGUGCAUAAGGCAUGCGCGUAGUUCUAGGCCAUCAAUUUAGGGCCAGUUCUUUUGGCAGCUUAAAAAAUAAGCCGCCUUAAGCCGUCUCUCUUAUUCGUUGGGGCUUCUAAACUAGUUAUGUGAUAACUAAUUUAGAAGUCAACAAAUUUAGGGGGCGGCUUAUUUUUAAGCUGGGGAGAUGGGGAGAGGCAGCUUAUUUUUUAAGCCGCCCAAAAGAACUGGCCCUUAACUAGCUAAAUAUGUAUUAUUUGUAAUAAUAUAUAUACAUAUAUAUAUAUAUAUAUNNNNNNNNNNNNNNNNNNNNNNNNNNNNNNNNNNNNNNNNNNNNNNNNNNNNNNNNNNNNNNNNNNNNNNNNNNNNNNNNNNNNNNNNNNNNNNNNNNNNNNNNNNNNNNNNNNNNNNNNNNNNNNNNNNNNNNNNNNNNNNNNNNNNNNNNNNNNNNNNNNNNNNNNNNNNNNNNNNNNNNNNNNNNNNNNNNNNNNNNNNNNNNNNNNNNNNNNNNNNNNNNNNNNNNNNNNNNNNNNNNNNNNNNNNNNNNNNNNNNNNNNNNNNNNNNNNNNNNNNNNNNNNNNNNNNNNNNNNNNNNNNNNNNNNNNNNNNNNNNNNNNNNNNNNNNNNNNNNNNNNNNNNNNNNNNNNNNNNNNNNNNNNNNNNNNNNNNNNNNNNNNNNNNNNNNNNNNNNNNNNNNUAUAUAUAUAUAUAUAUUUAGAAAUUACAUUCGCAUGGGGAUCCAGUAAUAUGCUUUUGAUGACAUAUAACACAUUUUUAGUUAGUCAAAUCGACGACCUAGAACUAUGCGCAUGCCCUAUGCAUCAAGACGGAGGGAGUACAAUUCAUGGGCCUCCGCAGCGACAGACCAUGAGAAAUGCGGAACCACCUUUUAGUUGUGCCCCUUUCAGCCUUGCCUAUUGGUAUAAAAAAUUCAGCAUCCAGUGGACGACCGAUGACGACCUUGGUCAAAUAAGCCUAGAGCUCCUCUCGAUAGCUGGAUUGAUUCUUUAUAUUAACUUCCUGGCUUGUAUAUAAACUCCUCUCUGUUCUUAACUCUUUGUAAUUAUCUGGGUGUAUAUUCCCCUUUCUCUUGUAAAUAUAUACUAUCGGGGCCUUCCCUACAGUUUUUUGUAAAGAAAGAAGUCAUGCCAAUCCUAGGUUUGAUGGGCCCAUGGGCCAAGCCGUCCUAUAAACAUUUCAUACAUAACAUCUGGUAGUUAUAGAGUCAUUGUGAGCCCCCCUUUUUUAAAAGCUUCACUUUCUUGGGUGGUAUCUUACCCUUUGCGUUUGGUAACUACCUGCUCUGCUUCCUGCCUCGCGGGCACAGAUGGCUCUCAAGUCUUGACCCUUGAUAAUAGUUUGCUAAUAUGUAAAAAAACCUCGACCAACAGGGACUAUGCCCUGUGUCUUUUUAAAUUAAGAAGAAACAAUCAAGGCACAUACCCUGCGGAGCAGAGGGCUCGAACGCUGGUGGUGGUCUGGGCACACACCCAGGUGCGAGGCGCUGGCCAACUGGUGGACGCCCAGUUAGUAAUGUGGAAGAUAGCUGCAUUAUAACGUCCAAGUACUUGUUUUCAUAUAUGUUGUAGAGUAAUUAAUUUCACUAUGUAUGUAUUGCCAUGGCUUGGUCAUCGCUUAUAUUUUCUGUUUUUUCAUGGAUGGUCAUCAGCUAUGUUAUUGCUCCCUAUAACGAAUAUCCUCCGUUGCUUGGCUUACUCUUGAAGUUGCUGAAUGGUGAACUGGAAUGGUCUACUAGAUUGGAAGUUCUGAAGGUAUUUAUUUGGCUGAUGCGUUGCUGUUUCAUGAAAAACAAUUAUAUUGCCCUUGUGUUAUAAGGUGAUAUAUUUUGCAGGUUUUAGGGAUUAUGGGUGCGUUGGACCCUCAUGCACAUAAGCGUAAUCAACAUAAUUUACCUGGUCAACAUAAUUUACCUGGUCAACAUAGAGAGGUUCUACGUCCAACAGUUGAGACUGCACAACAUGUCGUUUCCAUGGAAGAGACACCAACUGAUUUCUGGCCAUCUUUUUCGGCGUCUGAGGACUACUAUUCCACGGUAUGAUUUUGUGUUACCUAUGUUGGAAAUAGGGAGGAUCCUUGUAUUAGUCCCUUUAACCGUAAAGUUAUCAAUUGCUAGGUUGCAAUUAGUUCUCUCAUGCGUAUUCUCCGAGAUCCUUCCCUUGCAAGUUAUCAUCAAAUGGUUGUUGGCUCUCUUAUCUUCGUUUUUAAGGUAUAAUAUUUUUAUUUUGAAUUUUUUUCCUUCGACUAUGUUUCUGCAUUAUCACUUUAAUAAUUUUUCUGUGUUCUCUGUGAUACAUUUGGAUCUAGUCAAUGGGCCUUGGCUGUGUUCCCUAUUUACCAAAGGUGAGACUCAAUUUCCUCUACUGUACUGCAACUCUACAAGUCCUGCGCAUUUAUAGUAGUCAUGUUUCACCACAGUACUGUCCAGAUGUGAUCCACCAUCUCUGGCUGACUGGAAUACUCAUGCAUGAGGGAUUUUAUUUCUAGCUGAUACUCGGGGCAUGCAUGGCCUUGAGUUGUUAGCUUUCUAAGGAACCGUAACUGAUAUGUCAAUAACCUGUUUGUUGCAUCAACUGAAGUCCUUCCACAAAACCAAAUCAUGAAUUAUGUGAUUUGGAGAGUUUUAACAACAAUGUCAAAUUUCAAGCUUAAUUGCAGGAUAACCUUUUUAUGUCAUGAGAAAGUUGUACCUAGCAAGUUCCUUCAAACAGUAUCAGUUGUUUUUUCCAAGAUUUUCUGUGAUCUCCAUUUCUCCAGUUAUUCAAAUUCUUGAUGGGUCCCAAAAACAUUUAUUGAACAGAUAAAGUUUUCCUCUGGUUGAGUGAAUCACAACCAGAAAGCUAAACCUUUUUUUUCCGGGGUAUUCUUUAAGUUUGACCAAGUCUAUAGAAAAUAUAUAUCAACAUCUACAAUACCAAAUUAGUUCCAUUAUAUUCAUCAUAAAAUAUAUUGUUGUUCUACAUAUAUAUCAACAUCUACAACACCAAAUUAGUUCCAUUAUUUUCCGAUGGCGCUGAACUAAGUGAGAGCGCAAAUCCUCUAAUCGUACGCUCCGGUGCUAAUUACAUGGCGUGCCGCUCAUGCAGUACAACCCACGACCACCGCGCUAAUAGCGCAAUGGAUUUAUUUUUUGUUACCGCUGCAGCGCGCCCAACCUCCACCAGGUGGAACUAUUCCCUAAUCACGGUAAAAAUGCUAGCAAUGAAUGGUAAUGGAAUUAAAUUUCUUUACCAGAUUCCAUGCACUGACAACGCCAAAGUGCCCAAAGGCUCCUGCUACUAACCAUGGUAACAAGAAUGGCAUGCAUGAUAAAAAAAAGGCACGACAGCCCGGUGCACAUAGCUCCUGAUUGCGCAGGGGCCGUGUAAUGGAAAUAAAAUCAUUACGAGGUGUCGCACACCACUCCUCGAUCCUCUAAUCUAACCGUAAAAUAAGCUGAACACAUAGUAAUGUUACCAGUCCCGUGCAUAAUCCUUAUCAUGCGCUCUGGCGGUAGGUAAAGUCAACCAGACCAGCAAAUCCUUUGGUUCGAUGGUAAAAGGUUUCUCCGAAUGUAGUAACAAUCUGUAGGUAGUUAUGGCUGAUGCAUAGGAUAAGAAAUUGAUGGUUAACCUGAUGAACACGGUGAUAAACAGGUAAGUUUUUCUAGUAAAAAGUGCACGUGCACGUUCAUGAGCGACGGUUUGGAACUCACAUGCAGUAGCUAUGUGUACAUGUGACUUUCCAAACUAAGUAAUAUUACCAUAAAAUGUUAAGAUCUUAUAGUAAUGAUGCAUAGCUCUUUACGGCUAGCCUAAUACUACUAGCAUAUAGGUUUCUAGUUGAUAUAUUUAUAGUAGUAAACAUGGCAUAUAAUGGUAGUAAAAAAUUAGAGCAGAGGUUUGUUUUCUAUGUACCACAAUGGUUUGGUUCUCUCUCCGUCUCUCUCUCUCUAUCUAUCUAUCUAUCUAUCUCUCUCUCUCUAUAUAUAUAGAAAUAUAUAUAUAGAAAAACCAACGACAGUCAUCGGAUGUCGAAUGGAUGUCUCAGAUCCAUCUUAACUGACCAUGGUGGAGGGACCUAUUUAUACAUAACUGUUAGUCAGGUUUUUUUUCAUAAAAUAAACAGGAAACUUCCCCACUCACGUGCGUUGAAUGUGAGACAUCCACUCAGGAUCCGACGGAUGACAUUAAGUUUUUCUAUUCUUGCACACUAGUCUUCCCCUAUAUAUAUAUAUACCUAUAUGUAUAUAUAUGUAUGAUGUUACAAAAAUUAGCAAUUUUCUCUGUAGACUUGGUCAAAUGUAGAGAAGUUAGACUUAGGACAAAGCUAGAACUUCAAAUAAUUUGGAACGGAGGGAGUGUUAGGGUUGGAUAUAAGGCAAUUGGUUUGACACUGCUAUAUUUUUGUGCGAAAAGAUUGAAUACGUGUUACAGUUGCACGGUUGUUUUUUUUUGAAAUACUUCCUCUUUUGAUUGAAAGGUUCUCCCUGAGCUAUUCCGCGCCGUUCGUAUGUGCGAGGAUGGUGGUUUGAAAGAGUUCAUAACGUGGAAACUUGGGACAUUGGUAUCUAUUGUUCGACAGGUAAGAUGGCCCUUCUAGUGUUACCUUUUCUCUUCAUUUCAUUCUUCAAAGAUUUUUGUUGUUGCAAUUGGUAUCUAGUGUAUUUCAUCAGAUUUACCUUUUUCAGCACAUUCGGAAGUAUUUACAAGACAUACUCUCUCUCGUCUCUGAAUUAUGGACUUCCUCGUUCAGCCUUCCUGCACCAAAGCGGACUAUACAGGGUCCACAGGGCUCUCCAGUAAUAACACUUGACUUUUCCUCUGUUGUUAUGUUCUGUUGCGCACCUACAUUUUAUAAUUUCCAUAGAUGAGGCAUAGUGGUAUGCUUACAUGGGAAUGAACACAAAAGGCAGACAAACUGCAUUUUUUUUCUUAAGUUGUACAUUAGGCUUGAUGCUCAAUUUCAACCAUCCCACUUAUUUUGGAUUAGCUAUGUUGAUGACUAUAUUCUACGGCUGGUAUCAUCUUUUGUCGCCACAUGCUUCUGUGCGCAUAGCUAUUUUAUGUUUUUAAAAAUCAUUAAGUCAGCUGAUAAUAGUGGAAUUUCCAGGCUUACCUGCCUCUAGCUAAUAUGGGUAUUUCCCGACAAUGCAUAGUUCACUGCAGUAAUAAUAGCUACAUUAUAGGCAGGUAGCAAUAUUGUACUCCCUCCGUCCCAAAAUANNNNNNNNNNNNNNNNNNNNNNNNNNNNNNNNNNNNNNNNNNNNNNNNNNNNNNNNNNNNNNNNNNNNNNNNNNNNNNNNNNNNNNNNNNNNNNNNNNNNNNNNNNNNNNNNNNNNNNNNNNNNNNNNNNNNNNNNNNNNNNNNNNNNNNNNNNNNNNNNNNNNNNNNNNNNNNNNNNNNNNNNNNNNNNNNNNNNNNNNNNNNNNNNNNNNNNNNNNNNNNNNNNNNNNNNNNNNNNNNNNNNNNNNNNNNNNNNNNNNNNNNNNNNNNNNNNNNNNNNNNNNNNNNNNNNNNNNNNNNNNNNNNNNNNNNNNNNNNNNNNNNNNNNUAUUUUGGGACGGAGGGAAUAGUUUACUAGAAAAGAACAUUUUGAGAUUCUUUGAAUGACAUGUAAAGUCUGUAGGAUGUUAUAUAGAGGUCGCAGUAUCAGUACAAUGUAUUAGGUAAUAAGCCAGCAGAUAACAUAUAGACCUGCUAGAUAAUACUGUAACAUAAUUGUUUAUGUCAAUAGAUAUGAAAAUAGAGGUCGGUGAAUUGGUUGGAAUCAGGCAAGAGAGGAACCCUUAAAAAAUUAGGAAGUGCUAUUCAUAACUCAUCAUUUGCGCCCUCUUUAUAGAUUAAGAUACAAACAUAUGAUUACUAUUUUCUUGCAUGUUCAUCCCUGGUUGACCACUCACUAUUGCCUGGUUAAACAUUCACCAUGCUGUAUAGUGAGUGUGUCUUGCUAACCUGCUGAAAGAUCUUGUGCACCCAAACUGAUUCUGUGGUUGGGUGAGUGACUAUGUUUCCUGAGCGUGGUUUGUGAGAAGUCCAGUUUAAAUGAUAUAAUUUCUGUGUAUUCCUAUAAUUAUAUCAUGGCAAUUAGAAAAUUCGUGGAGCAAUAGUUUUGUGAUUCUGGUUUUUCAUAUCAUGAUUUUCUUAAUUUUACUGUCUUGCUUCUCCAGGUUCUUCAUCUUGUCGAGCAACUAUGCUUAGCAUUGAAUGAUGAGUACAGAGUGUAUUUAAUCCAUAUUUUACCAAGUUGUAUUCAAGUCUUGGGUGAUGCGGAACGCUGCAACGAUUAUUACUAUGUUCCUGACAUAUUACACACACUUGAAGUGUUUGGCGGUUUGUGUCCAACUCCUACUUUUUUUCAUGUCCUUAAUUUAUGUUUUGAAAAUUAACAUGGCACCUUUUAGGAAAUUUGGAUGAGCACAUGCACUUGGUUGCUCCAGUGCUUGUUCGUUUAUUUAAAGUGGAGCUAGUUGACAUCCGACGGCGUGCUAUCAUUACUUUGACUAAGCUUAUACCUAAUGUGCAGGUCGGUUGAUGUUCUAAUCCAGUUUGAUUUAUCAUACAGCAAAAAGCUGCUUCUGUGCUUUUGAAUUGCUCAUCAUGCAUCUUCGAUAUAACUUGUCCAGGUUGGUACUCAUGUUUCGGCGUUAGUGCAUCAUCUGAAGCUCGUCUUGGAUGGGUAAGGUUUAUGGUUACAAAUAAUUUAAUAUAUCUAACGUAUUGGGCUUUCCUUGUACUUUUUAAGUUCUUGUUUUCGUAGCAUAUUUAUUAUCACAAUAUUAUUUCUACUUCUAAUUGAUUCGUAACUGGUUAUUUCUACUUUUAUCAAUUUAAUUAAUACAUUUUAUUUUGUGAAUCUCUUUUCUUAAUUUGACUGUUAUUUCCCCUUAUUGAGUAGAAGCAAUGAUGAUUUACGGAAAGAAGCUGCAGAGGCGCUCUGCUCACUCGCACAUGCUCUCGGAGAGGAAUUUACAAUUUUCAUACCAUCGAUACGCAAACUUCUUGUGAAGCACCAUUUGCGGGUAUUCUGUUUUAAUAUUAUGUAUGUACCUUUUGAUGUCUUUUGCCUAAUUUUUCAUGUUUUGCUUCUUACAGUACAAAAAGUGGGAUGAGACUGAAAAUCGGUUACUAAGGCGAGAACCGUUCAUCUCCGAUAACUUUUCAGUACAGAAGUACACACAGUGUCCACCUGAUGUCAUUAGUGACCCCCUUGAUGAUUUUGAGGGUGUUCCUUCGGAGGAAGCUGAUGAAACACAGCGGCAACCAAGAAGUCAUCAAGUAAUACGCUUUGUUGUUCCAGCUGAGAUCUUAUAGAUUUCUUCACUUCUAUUCUCCUUCAUACUAAUUAUUGUUUUUCGUUGCUCUUUUGACCAUUUUGCCUGGCUUUUAAGACAUCAGAGCUCACUCUUGCCCAUAGAACCUUUGACUUUUUUGAAGAUUGUUAUUUCACCUGGGAAGACCUUGGUUCUUUUUCAAAAAAUAAAAUAAAAAAUCCUAACAUUCUUUUUCAGUUUUUCUGAGCAGCUACCGUGUACACACCCACUUAAGUAUUCAUGGUAGCCACACAUAUCAAUAUGACCACUUGGUAACCACUUACUGUGGUAGUUGCUUGACUUUGUACUAGGCUGCUGUAUGUGUUUUUUGUUCUUAUAUUUUCUUUCUCUGUUGUAGUACUAGGUAGUAGAUUGUUGUAAUUGAUGGUUUUGCCUCUCCGUGAAAAAUGAUUAACAACCUGUAUUGGUCGUCUGCUCUUUCACGUAGCCCCAUUUUUUUCUUGUAUACUUAAUUUAGACUUUUGGUUGCUGCAGGUCAACGAUGUUCGAUUGAGAAGUGCUGGCGAGGCUUCUCAGAGAAGUACUAGAGAAGAUUGGGCUGAAUGGAUGAGGCACUUUAGUAUUGCACUUCUCAAAGAGUCACCAUCUCCAGCUCUACGCACUUGUGCAAGGCUAGCACAGCUUCAGGUACAGCAGUUGUUCUUUAUAAUGUGUUGAUCAUGCUGUGAAUUAUUUUCUGACAUAAAUAUCCAGCCUUCUGUUGGACGCGAGUUGUUUGCUGCGGGUUUUGCAAGUUGCUGGGCCCAAAUGACCGAAUCAUCCCAGGAGCAACUAGUGAGAAGUCUCAAGACAGCAUUCUCAUCUCAAAACAUACCACCAGAAAUUCUUGCAACGCUGUUGAACUUGGUAAGUUUGGUCAUGGGAUUUUUAUAUACAAUUUUUACAAUUCAUUUGCCAUGCUGUUUCUUUUAUUAAUUGUCCGUUUCUAUAAGUAGGCAGAGUUUAUGGAACAUGACGAGAAGCCUCUUCCAAUUGAUACUAGGCUGCUUGGUGCACUUGCUGAGAAGGUUAGCUGUAUUGUUGCUCUUUGUGUGUCUUUGGCAAACUAUUGAGAUCUUCAUGAGCAUGUGUGUUUUAUUGAAACUUCUGAAUUACUUUCAGUGUCGAGCAUAUGCAAAAGCCCUCCAUUAUAAAGAAAUGGAGUUUGAAGCUGUAUGUUCAAAGAAGAUGGGUGCAAAUCCUGUUACAGUGGUUGAAUCCCUUAUUCAUAUUAACAAUCAACUACACCAGCAUGAGGUUGGUCCUUGUAUCAUAUGAAAGGAUAAAGGAGUGAUCUUUAUAGUUUUUAAAUCUUUUUUAAAUUUCUACAGGCAGCUAUUGGAAUACUGACUUACUCACAACAGCAUCUAGAAGUUCAGUUGAAGGAAUCCUGGUAUAUGCCAGUUUACUACUACACCUAUGACCCCUUUGACAAAGAAUCAUUUUCUUGCAUUUAUUAUGAUCCUUAUUUGGCAUUUUUAAUUAGUGUUUUUAAACUAAUGUCUUUCAAUGAUAAAUAUGGUUGAGAACUUGCUGAAAUAAGACCCAUCGUUUUUUUAUAAUUCAAGUUUCUUGUUUCAAUAUCUGUUUAAAUUUUGUGUAAUGUAGGUACGAGAAAUUGCACCGUUGGGAUGAGGCCCUAAGGGCAUAUACCAUGAAGUCAUCUCAAGCAUCUGGCCCUUUACAACACAGCCAAAAUUUGGAUGCUACAUUGGGUAUGGUCAUCAUUAUUUUUUUUUGCAUCGUACCCUCCUUGCCGAAGACUUGUCACUUUCCAAUCCAAGAAACAGUUUCCAGAAUACCAUUUGAAAAUUCUCAGAUCCUCCACUAGAGCACCCUUGUUAUUGCCUUUUUUUUUCUUCGAACCGGGCUUCCCCCCUUCCCAUUACUUUCAUAACGGAAAUACAUUGUUUACCAUAACAUAGAGAAAUAAGGAAAGAAGAGAAGCCAUUUUUCUGUUCUAAUGCACCCUUGUUAUUGGCUUAUUGUGGAAGUCAUUUUCUGUUCAAAUAUGAUUGUCCGCGGAAAAGAAAAACAGAGAAAACCACAUAGGGAGUUAUUUAUGCCUAAUAACUCAUAUAUGAAUCUUCUUUAGUAUAUUUAACAAAUGUAACUAGCUGAGAAUCAUGCUUAUGUUAGGGAGGAUGAGGUGCCUAGCAUCCUUGGCUCGGUGGGAAGAUUUAAGCACAUUAUGCAGGGAGCAAUGGACUGGUGCAGAACCGCCUGCUCGGCUGGAAAUGGCUCCAAUGGUUGUGGAUAAAUCUUCUUAUCCAUUUAUAGAUAACUUUUAACAGGUGAACUUAAUUUUUCUUCUUUUUGUUUCUGUUCUUAUAGGCUGCAAAUGCUGCUUGGCAUAUGGGUGAGUGGGACCAGAUGUCUGAAUAUGUUUCUCGUCUGGAUGAUGGGGACGAAAACAAGCUCCGCUCGUUGGGUAACACAACUGCUAGCGGUGAUGGAAGCAGUAAUGGUGCUUUCUUUAGGGCUGUUCUUUCAGUUCGUUGCAAAAAGGUAGAGUAUGUUCUUAUUUUGAACUCUGAUCACAUUCUUUCCAUAGUUUGAUCAUAGUUUGGGAUUUUUGUGUUCCUUUGCAGUAUGAAGAAGCUCGUGUAUAUGUUGAGAGAGCUCGGCGGUGUUUGGCAACUGAACUUGCACCAUUGGUAUGACACAUAGCCAUUAUAUAUGUUAGAGUUAUAAUAUAAGUCAUGUACCUUUUUGUAUUUAUCCCAAUAUAUAAGGGGUUUCCUGCAUAUAGUCCAUUGCCUGUACAUGUAUAUAUACUGGCAUAUGGCCUCAUGGGAAUACAAGUUGCUUAUUCCUAACAUGGUAUUAGAGCUAGGUUAACUUUUGCACGCCGCAACUCGUGCUGUUGAUCCGCCCCACGCCGCCGCUCUCUCCGCUCUCUUCUCUGGCUCGUUCCCGUCAGGCAGCAGCUCUCCUCCUCGUCCCCUCGUGCCCUGCCUCGUCCUAGUCUCCCCGCUGCUCCAGAUCGGAUGGGAUCCAUCCCAGAUCGAAUCGGUCCAGGACAGGGAUCGAAUCCGGCUCGGAUCGAUCCAGGACGGUGCUGCUGAUAAGACUGCGGGACAACGCAGCCUGCGGGACUCCGUGAGCGAAGCAGGGAAGUUGCGCAUAGGCUCAGGGUCGAAUCCAGGACGGUGCUGCUGCUGAUCCCCGCUGCCGCUGAUCCAUCCAGGACGGUGCUGCUGAUUCCUGCUGCCUCUCUGCUGAUCCGGCUCUUAGGACUCCAGCCGCCGCCCCAAUCCCGUCUCGAUCGGAUCUGAUUCCAGUUGCAGCGCCAGCCAGCUCUGCUCUCUUCCUCCAGUAGCAGCGCCCGCCAGCGCUGCUCUCGUCUUUCAGUUGCAGCGCCCGCCAGCCGCCGACCCGAUCCCGUCCCGAUCUCGAUUGGAUCCGGCUCGCCUUGGUACUGCUGUUUCUCUGCUGCUGCAAAAAAAAAAGUCUGCUGCCUCCGGCUAUGUUGCUGUUCCUCGUUGUCCGGUGAUCUUUGAUGGCACUAACUACACCGAGUUCAUUGGCUUCAUGCGCAUUCACAUGCGUGGCAUCCACCUAUGGGGUUUUCUUUCUGGCGAGGUCUGCUGUCCGCCAUGUCCGGUUCCUCCCGUGGCUCCCACUCCGCCGACCCCACCGGCUCUUCCUGCGGAUGCUCCUCAGGCCACAAAGGAUGCGGCUAAGCUUGCUGAUGAGGCCGCUAUCCGUGCUUAUGAUGAGAAGGUUUUGGCUUAUGAGGUGGCUCUUCAGACAUAUCGUGGUGCUCUGUCUACUUACACCCAAUGGCUUGAUGAUGAUGCUCGUGCUGCAGCUGUUCUCACUGCUAGCGUUCUGCCUCAGUUUGCCUCUGAGUUUCUGGGCCUUCCCACUGUGUUUGAGAUGUGGACUCGCCUUCGUCAGCGCUAUGAGCCCCCUGGUGAUGCCUUAUACCUCUCUAUGGUCCGUCAGGAGCAUGCUCUUCAGCAGGGUGAUUCUACUGUUGAUGACUUCUAUGCACAGAGUUCUGCUAUCUGGCGCCAGCUUGAUUCUCUCCUCAGUGCUGGUUGUCGCACUUGCCCCUGUUGCCAGGCUGUCUAGGCCGACUUGGAGUUUCAUCGCGUCUACGAGUUCCUGUCUCAGCUCCGUAAGGAGUUUGAGCCCCGACGUGCUCAGUUGUUUGCUUGUGGCCGUAUUUCUCUCAUGGAGGCGCUUUCUGAGAUUCGUGCUGAGGAGACUCGCUUACGUGGUGCUGGUUUGCUGGAGGUACCCUCGGUGCUCGCUGCUCGGACUUUUUCUACGCCACCUGCUACACCGACCCCUUCUCGCUCGAGUGCUCCGCCGCUCUUGCCCACUCCUUCUGGAGGCUCGGGUCGCCCCCGUCCACAUUGUGACUACUGCAACAAUGAUGGUCAUAUUGAGUCCCACUCCUACACGAAGAAGAAACACUUGCGCAAGGCGCGAUCAUCAUCUACAGCGACUUCGUCAUCUACUUCGACAACUUCAACCAUUGCUUUGACUGAGCAGGAUAUUCUGAGACUUAAGCGUCUGCUCGCUGCUUCAGGUUCUUCCUCGACGGGUACUGCUGGUUUUGUGACCGAGGCUUCCCGCACGGAGCAACCACCUUCUACACAGUCAGGUACAUCCCCAUGGGUUCUGGACUCUGGAGCUUCCUUUCAUAUGACUUCUAAUUCUUCUACUUUGUCCUCUCUUCGAUCGCUUGAUUCUCCUGUUCAUGUCCUCACCGCUGAUGGUACUCCCCUUUCUGUCGUUAGUAGAGGCAAUCUUACCACUCCUUAUUCUGUUCAUGAUGUUGCUCAUGUUCCUCGACUUACCAUGAAUUUGUUUUCCAUUGGUCAACUUUCUGAUUCUGGUUGUCGCGUCAUCCUUGACCUUGACUCUUGUUCUGUCCAGGACCGUCGCACGCACACUCUGGUUGGGGCUGGUCCUCGCCGCCGUGAUUCUGAGGGUCUUUGGGAGUUGGACUGGCUUCAUGUUCCUUUCGCUGCCCACUCUAUCGCCAGUUCUUCCGCUUUGGUCGCCUCAGCUACUGGUUCCUUCCAGCAGUGGCAUCAUCGACUUGGUCAUCUGUGUGGUUCUCGUUUGUCGUCGUUAGUUCGUCGAGGUCUUCUGGGGUCUGUCUCAGGAGAUGCCUCUUUAGAGUAUCAGGGUUGUCGUCUUGGCAAGCAGAUUCAGUUACCAUAUCCACAUAGUCAGUCAGUGUCUAAGCGUCCUUUUGAUUUAGUUCAUUCCGAUGUAUGGGGUCCGACUCCCUUCGCUUCGAAAGGGGGUCAUAAAUACUAUAUUAUUUUCAUAGAUGACUUCUCUCGUUACACAUGGCUUUAUUUCAUGACUUCUCGUAGUGAGGUGUUGUCCAUUUAUAAACGUUUUGCUGCCAUGGUUCAUACUUAGUUCUCUUCUCCCAUUCGUGUGUUUCGUGCUGACUCCGCUGGCGAGUAUAUCUCUAAGAUGUUGCGUGGUGUUCUUGCUGAGCAAGGGACUCUCUCUCAAUUCUCUUGUCCUGGUGCUCACACUCAGAAUGGCGUGGCUGAGCGCAAGCAUCGUCGUCUUCUUGAGACGGCUCGUGCAUUAAUGAUUGCUGCCUCUCUCCCGCCUCAUUUUUGGGCUGAGGCCGUCUCCACCUACACCCAUCUCAUCAAUUUCCAGCCUUCCGCUGCUCUACAAGGUGGUGUUCCUUUCGAGCGUCUUUUUGAUCGUUCUCCUGAUUAUUCGAUGCUUCGCUUGUUUGGUUGUGUUUGCUAUGUUCUUCUUGCCCCCCGCAAACGCACCAAACUGACCGCUCAGUCUGUUGAGUGUGUCUUCUUAGGCUAUAGUGAUGAGCAUAAGGGCUAUCGUUGUUGGGAUCCUAUCGGUCGUCGGAUGCGUAUCUCUCGGGAUGUGACUUUUGAUGAGUCUCGUCCCUUCUACCCACACCCAUCUUCCUCGACUUUCUCAGUGGAGGAUAUCUCUUUCCUCACUUUUCCUGACACACCUAUCACACCCGUCUAGCCUUUGCCAAUUCGUUCCGCUCCCUCUGCUUCUCCACCUCCAGUCGAUUUGUCGCCACCAUCCUCCACGGUCUCCUUGUCUAGCAUGUCACCGGAUUCUACACCUUCAUCUCCGGUGACUUCUUUGUCGCCACUCCCCGAUUCUAUCUUGGUGAUUCCUCCUUCCAUUGUUCCAUCUUUUCCUCAGUGUUACACUCGACGUACACGUUCCGUGGAUGCCUCUGUGGAUGUGUCGUCAUCCUCGUCUCAGCCUACUUAUGGCUUGCGUUCUCGUCCUCGUCCGCUUGUUGAUCGCUUUGGAUUUUCCACCGCUGGUGCUGCAGUUCUUGAGCCCACUAAUUAUCAUGAGGCUGUUGUUCAUCCUGAAUGGCAGUUUGCGAUGGCAGAGGAGAUUGCUGCUCUUGAACGCACUGGUACGUGGGAUCUUGUUUCCCUUCCUCCCGGAGUCCGUCCCAUCACUUGUAAGUGGGUCUACAAGGUUAAGACUCGCUCCGAUGGUUCUCUUGAGCGUCACAAAGCUCGUCUUGUGGCUCGUGGUUUUCAGCAGGAGCAUGGUCGUAAUUAUGACGAGACUUUUGCUCCUGUGGCUCAUAUGACCACUAUUCGUACACUUCUUGCUGUGGCCUCUACACGCCACUGGUCUAUCUCUCAGCUUGAUGUUAAGAAUGCUUUUCUUAAUGGUGAGCUGCGUGAGGAGGUGUACAUGCAGCCACCACCUGGGUACUCUGUUCCUGAUGGCAUGGUAUGCCGUCUUCGUCGCUCUCUCUAUGGCCUUAAGCAAGCCCCCGCGCCUGGUUUGAGCGUUUUGCCUCUGUGGUGACUGCUGCUGGUUUUUCACCCAGUGUUCAUGAUCCAGCAUUGUUUAUUCACCUUUCUCCUCGUGGUUGGACUCUUCUUCUUCUCUAUGUUGAUGACAUGGUCACCACUGGGGAUGACCGCGAGUAUAUUGCCUUUGUCAAGGCCCGCCUUAGUGAGCAGUUCCUUAUGUCUGAUCUUGGACCUCUUCGCUACUUUCUUGGGAUUGAAGUCUCUUCUACCUCUGAUGGUUUCUUUAUAUCACAGGAAAAGUAUAUCCAGGAUCUUCUUGCUCGUGCUGCUCUUACUGAUGAGCGCAUUGUUGAGACUCCUAUGGAGCUCAAUGUUCACCUCUCUGCUACUGAUGGUGUUAUCGUCAUCUUGUUGGCAGUCUUGUUUAUCUAGCCGUCACUCGUCCGGAUAUCUCUUAUCCGGUUCAUAUUCUGAGUCAGUUCGUCUCUGCUCCCACAUCGGUUCACUAUAGUCAUCUCCUCCAUGUUCUCCGAUAUCUUCGGGGCACGAUCUCUCACCGUCUAUUCUUUCCUCGCUCCAGUUCUUUACAGCUUCAGGCCUAUUCGGAUGCUACAUGGGCUAGUGAUCCUUCAGAUCGCCGUUCACUUUCUGCUUACUGUGUUUUUCUUGGUGGUUUUCUCAUUGCCUGAAAGACGAAGAAACAAAUUGCAGUUUCCCAUUCGAGUGCAGAGGCUGAGUUGCGAGCGAUGGCUCUUUUGACGGCAGAGGUGACUUGGUUACGGUGGUUACUUCAGGAUUUUGGUGUUUCUGUCACUACACCGACUCUGCCCUUAUCUGACAAUACAGGUGCUAUUAGCAUAGCGCGCGAUCCUGUGAAGCAUGAGCUCACCAAGCACAUUGGUGUUGAUGCUUUCUAUGUGCGCGCUGCUGUGCAGGAUCAGGUUGUUGCUCUUCAGCAUGUGCCUUUCGAGUUACAGUUGGCGGAUUUCCUGACGAAGGCCCAGACUAGAGCACAACAUGACUUUUAUCUCUCCAAACUCAGUGUUGUUCAUCCACCAUGAGUUUGAGGGGCCUAUGGCCUCAUGGGAAUACAAGUUGCUUAUUCCUAACAAUAUAUUCCUUUGUAUAAUUUCCAUGAUUCAAGUUUUGUCUAAAUUUAUUUUCAUUACUAUAUUAUUCAUAUUUUGGAAAUAUUUUGUGUAGCAUGGUUUUCAUAUUUGCCAAAGCCAACCGAUGAUUACAUUGUGAUUUUGCGCAACACAGCAACCAUAAACUGACUCUCAUACAUCUGAGUUGCUAAGGUGGCCUUUGUUUGGGCUUUAGCUAGUGAUUCUCAGAUUCUAGCUCAUCCAAAAUCUGAAUCUUAAACAAACACUCAGAUUUUUAUCUAAGAUUUUCAGAAUCGAUUUUAGAAAAUGAACUACACGCACCCGGAAGCCAGAAUCAGCGAUCUUGCUGAUUCCCGAGCUGCCACUUACGCAGGUUGAAAACUAGGCGAUGUUCUUCCCGUUAUUACGAUGAAAAUGCCAUCACUCCCAGCCCAAUUUCCUCCACCGACAGGUCCUCUUCCACCUCGUUCUUUUCUUUCCCAACCGAACACACGCACAAAGAGGCCGCCAUGGCUGUUUAGGUUUCGGCCGCCGCCACCUUCGCCGGCCCCGUCGGCUCAAUGGCGUGCGGAUCCGGCGCCUCCGCCCCUCCCCAAACUUGGCCACGAGCUCCACUGCGCCGCUGUCCCACAACUCCACCUGAGAUGUGCUGCUCCUAAUCUCCGCCUCCGCCGCCGCUCCUGACCACCCCUUGCACCGCCGGACUGAGCUGCCCCUGCACCGCGUCGGUGGUCCUGCUGUACUGCACGGGAGCUCCACCCUGGCCCCCUGCUCCUGCUCUACCUGCCCAACUCACGAGGACGUAUAGAUUUCGCUCGUGACCAUUUGUGCAUAAUGGGCGCUAUGGACAUUUCACAACACUUGCGCUUUUUCCGGUAGCAGGGUAAACAAACAGUCAGCUUCAGAUUUUCAAAAUCCACACCCACAGCUGAUUCUCAGAAUCUAAGUCACAAUUGAUUCUUAGUAAUCUGCAGCCCAAACAAAGGGGUAGUAAACGGUGUGUUUGGGUCUUGGGUGAUGGGGUAGGGGGGUAAGAAGAGGCAUUUGGUACUGAUAAAAUAUCUUGCUUUAUAGCUGAGACUAGCAGUAUAUGUGUAACAAUUAGAGGGGAACUUUUGGAACUGAUACAUUAUGUAGGAUAUAAGUAUAGAUGCAAUAACUAGUCUUUAUUCUUCUCCAGCGUGUUAGCACUUACAAUGCACUUUUCUGUUCUCAGAGGGUGUUUCUCUAAUUCUAUCUCAAGAAUUUAAUUGGUUUACAUACCUGGUGUUCUCUUUUAUAUGAAAGAAAAAGUGUGAUUUUUUCAUCGUUUGGCCCUAUAUGGGGGCCUUCUUGUGAUGAACAGUCUGCACUUUCAUAAGUUUGUUAACUGUGUUUCCGUCAAAAAAGGGUUUAUUAACUGCUCACAAAUCCCUUUUGGUCUUCUGUAUACCCAUACUUGUUUGUUACCAAUUUACUAGGUACUUGAGAGUUAUGAGCGUGCUUAUAAUAAUAUGGUGCGGGUUCAGCAGCUUUCAGAACUCGAAGAGGUAUUCUAAUUUUGGUUUAUGUUCUGAAGAAGUUAGUUACGGUUUUACUAACAAAAGGUGUGUAAUUCAGGUGAUUGAUUACUGUACUCUUCCGAUGGAAAGUCCAAUUGCUGAUGGGCGAAGGGAACUUAUCCGUAAUAUGUGGAACGAGCGCAUUAAAGGAACAAAACGGAACGUUGAGGUUAUAUGAUGUAUUUGCUUAAGAAUACUGUGUUGUAGCCUGUAUGGUUCUUAUUCUCCAUGUUGACUUCAAAAUUUUCUCAGGUGUGGCAAGCCCUACUUGCUGUUAGAGAGUUGGUUCUUCCUCCUAAUGAAGAUAGAGAUACCUGGAUAAAAUUUGCUAAACUUUGCUGGAAGAGUGGACGUAUUAGUCAGGCUAAAUCUACUUUAGUCAAACUUUUACAGGUGAAAAUAGUAGUUAUUAAUUAGUGUGCCCAUUUAACUCUGCAAUUCUCUCUAUAAAAGAAACAAUUUCUUAUACCACAUGCAGUUUGAUCCUGAAUCUUCUCCUGAGUUGACACUGUAUCAUGGACAUCCUCAAGUAGUCCUGGCUUACCUGAAGUACCAGUAUGCUGUUGGAGAUGAGCUUAAACGAAAGGACGCAUUUUCUAGGCUACAGGUGAUUGUCCUUGUACUCUGACAAUACAUGGCAGCACUAAUAUCUUCAAGUGUUUAUACUGAUGUACCCUUGUUUCUGGUGAGAUAGGAUCUGUCAGUGCAGAUUGCAACAGCCACAAAUAGUUACUCUGGAAUGCUAGUAAGCCAUGGUGCUAUAUCAAAUGCUGGAGUACCACUUAUUGCCCGUGUCUAUUUGACACUUGCUAGCUGGAAGAGAGCACUGUCACCUGGAUUGGAUGAUGAUGCCAUUCACGGUCCGAAAAACUUCAGUUUUUUCUACUGUUUUCCUUUAAUUUUAUUUCAAUCAAUUGUGAAUCUCUUUCUCCAGAAAUAUUGGUUUCUUACAAAAAUGCCACAUUAAGUGCCAAGGACUGGGGCAAGGCAUGGCACGUGUGGGCUUUGUUCAACACUGAAGUCAUGUCCCGAUAUACUUUGCGAGGCCGUCCAGAUAUAGCAGGAAAAUAUGUUGUUGCAGCAGUAACAGGAUAUUUCUACUCUAUUGCUUGUGCAUCUACAACUAAAGGUGUCGAUGAUAGCCUGCAGGUAAAUCUUUAUUUUUCUUUCUAUUUUUUGUUCUAUGAAGUUGAUUUUAAGCCAAGGGUUCAUAUAGUGGUUGAUCCCAUCGCAUUUCAAAAAUCCUUUUACACCCUUUCCAAUGUUUGAGACGAGCAAAAACUCAAAUUACAAUAUUAUGUUGUUUAGCCAUUUUCCUACUAUAUUUAGAAGUCUUGAAAGGUGAUGUAUGCGGAUCUCUUGACUAGCAGCAUCUCUGACUUGGUCUAAAUUUAACUGGUAAUGAACAGCCGUGAAAUAUCUGGAGUGACAAUUGGUCUGAUCACCUUUUGGGGAGAAGAUUUCCCAGGCUUCACUCCUCUGCCCUUGAUCAUCUUGCUUCGGCCCAGGGUGUACUUGUUACCCAAGAGCUCUUACAUCUUUUUCAUCUUCAGCUUUCCAGCCAGGCUUUCGAUGAAUUCGAGUUCAGGCAAUUCCUGACCAACCUUCAUUGUUCCCCUGAUGUUGCUGAUUCUUGUUCUUUCUCAUGGAUUGCAAGUUUUUUCUCUUCUAAAAUCUAGAGUCCACUUUCAGCACAACCAAGGCCCCCCAACCCCACUGCUUGGCUCUGGAACCCUAAGUACUCUCCUAAGCUUAAAGGCUUUACCUGGCUCCUUCUAAAUGAUAGACUUAAUACAAAAGGCAUCCUCCAACGUCGCUAAUUUAAUCCUCCUGGAGGCUCUAAUUGUAUAUUCUGGAACUUGGAUACCCUGGAAACUCGUGAUCAUCUCUUCUUGUUAUGUAGCUUGAGCUCCUCGUGCUGGAAUGCUCUUGAUUUACGCCUCGAUCUCCCAUGGAAGAAGUUAUCUUCAGGGUAAAGCUCAAGAUCAACAAGCCUUUCUUCUUUGAUAUCACGACGGUUGCAGCUUGAAAUAUUUGAAAGCCAAGAAAUUUUGAAGUCUUUAGCAACAUGUCCCCUAGCAGGGCCACUUGCUUGUUAUGUUUGAAGAGAGAUCCCUCUUCCUUCUUUCUUACGGAUGAAGGAUGAGCUUGCCAUCUCCCAGGGCCUAGUGCUUGCCUGCCUUCUGCCCCUUCUUGUACAGCCCUCGCUCUUUCUUUCCUCCUUUGUACAGCCCCUCUCUUGCACAGGGUCUGGGGAAGGGUCCGACCACUUUGGGUCUUUUUUAAAUAUCUCUAUUUAUAUUAAUAAAAUUUACUGUGGGGGUCCUCCUCUACAUCUUUAAAAAAUCAUUCUGCUACAUCUUGGUAGCAUGAAAAAAAUACUAUGCCACUUUGAGAUGACUGCCUAAAAAAUUGUUUUCACUAAUACCUUGCUUUUUCAAUAAUAUAUUUAGAUGAUUAUGUUUACUUUUGUAGGAUAUUCUCCGUCUCUUGACUCUUUGGUUCAACCAUGGGGCAACCUCAGAGGUUCAAAUGGCGUUGGAGAAAGGCUUUUCACUUGUCAAGAUCGAAAUGUGGUUGGUUGUGCUGCCCCAGAUAAUUGCCAGGAUUCAUUCAAAUAAUAGAAUAGUUAGAGAACUGAUACAAGAAUUGCUAGUUCGAAUUGGAAAGGGGCAUCCACAGGUUCGCAUUUUUCUUCUUAGGCUGAUAAACUUUAGCUAAGAUUUUUGGAUGUUCAACUAGAGUAUAUGUGCUUCUUUCUUGUGAAAUUUACUAGGUUUCUGAAUUGCUAUAACGACUGUCAUAGAGUCACAAUUGUUGCUUUAACAACUAAGGUGACACAAGACGACCUAUCUCCCUAUUCGGUGAUCUAAAGAAACGACUAAAAAAAAUAAAGGAGUCGGUUUAUAGUAGAGAAUGAACAAUGAGACCUACCAGGCAUUAGCGCCCAGUGGCAUUCAUUUAAAGGACAACCAAAACACAAGUAAACGGUUCACUCCGCUGAAUAAUUUUUUGCCUCACAGGGUCGAGCCCUGGCGAGCGGUCUGGUGCCAGCAGACCCCUACCUACUGAGUGAUGCUUGGUUCUUGUUGCAUUCCUCAUUUUUAGUUUGAUCCAUGCUCACCUCCAGUUUUUCUGUCUUUUGUUUGUGUUAACGGUUGCAUAAGGUGGCUGCAUGGUUAGUAGUACCGUUUGUCUUUUUUAGUGUUCAGGUUUGUUGUUUCAUGCUCAGUUUUCUCCAGAAUUCAUUAUGCUUUGUGUGUGUAUGUUGUGAAUUGCUCGUUGGGUCUUGUCUGCCAGGAGCUGACUGGUUCCAUUGUUUCACUGUGAUAAUAACUAUAUUCUUUUUUUUUUUCGAGAAAACACAGAGAUGUGCGUUUCUUUGUAUUGAAAAGAGGGAAAGUCAGUCUCAAAGGAGACGGUUACAACAGAUUACAAGCAACUCAACGGACAUCCCAGGAUGGGGCAAGACUACCCUAAGCCCCUUGUCCCCAGCUCUAGCCCAACAUCUCAUCUCAUCUUUGAUCCCAUCCGCGAGCUCGGGGAGCGACGGAGUGGCAUGAUCAAAUACACACGCAUUCCUAUGUUUCCAGAUCAUCCAUGGAACUAGCAAUGUGGUGGACCUCAGCGCCUUGCGGAGUGAUGGUGGUGUUGCAUCUCUCGCCCUAAUCCACCAGUCCUGAAUGGAGAUAUCCUGCUCCGGUGUGGGGGCUGGUAAGCGCAGCCAGGAAAGAGCCUCGUGCCAGGCUUGCCGCGCGAAGGGACAUGCCAGUAGCAGGUGGUGAAUGGUCUCUGGCUCCUGGUCGCAAAGUAGGCAUCGGGCGUGGUGAGGUAGGCCGCGACGGGCAAGUCUGUCCGGGGUCCAGCAUCGGUCUAGGUUCACAAGCCAGUGGAAAAACUUGACAUUCGGCGGAGCCCAUCCCUUCCAGAUUAACUUCCAGGAAUGGCAAGCGAGGGAUCCGUGGAAGGUGGCCUGAUAGCAUGAUCGCGCCGAGUAUUCUCCAUUAGCAGUCCAUUUCCAGACAAGCCUGUCUGGCUCGGUGGACAAGGCGGUGUGCGUGACGCGCUGCCAUGUCGUCAGGUAUUGGCCAAUCUCUUGCAGCCCCACGACACCGCGGAUGUCUCGGGCCCACGCGUUGCCGGCGAGGCCAUCCGCCACCGUCCGCUCCCUUCUCCUGUUCUUGGGAAUGCAUAGGUACAGCAAGGGUGCUAGCUCGCGGAUCGACUGCCCAUGCAGCCAUCGUCUUCCCAGAACAGCGCCGUGCGGCAGGCAUAGAAGAGGCCGAGCUCCUCAGUGGAGAACUGCAGGUCCAGGCCUUUCCAGGCCCUGUCGGCGUCCGUCCUAGAUAGCCAGAGCCACCGCAGCCGAAGUGCUAGCCCAGUGCGCUCCAAAUCUCGGAUGCCAGUGAGAGGCCGACUGACCGCGCGCCAGUUAACGUGACAGUGUCCUCCCCGAGCAGCCGCACGGCCAGCCCAGAGGAAGCCGCGCUGGAUCUUCUCUAGUUGCUUCAGGGUCUUCUUCGAGUGUGCCAGGGCGAGCAUCUGGUGGAUUGGGAUCGCGCUGAGGACCGAUUUGACCAAUGCCAACCUCCCAGCUUUGUUCAUGAGCCAUGCUUUCCAUGUCGGGAGGCGGCCAGCCACAGCAUCGACUAGCGGCUGCAUCUGAGCUGGUGUGGGUCGCCUGGUGGUGAGCGGUAUGCCCAGGUAGGUGAUGGGCAGGUUCGCCGCCUGGCAGCCCAAUGCCUCCAGCAGGGCAUCGCUCUCCUCGUCGCCGUGUAGGGUCGUGGCCGAGCUCUUGCCAUAGUUGACCUGCAAGCUCGACGCGGCCUCGAAAAUACCUAGGAUGCCCUUCACCGCGAGCACCUCAUCCAUCUCAGCAUGGCAAAACAGCAUCACGUCAUCGGCGUAUAGCGAGACGGCCGGAACAGUACGUCGGGGGUGCAGCCGCCGAAGUAUGCCGGCCUGGAGUGCCCGAUGCAUGAGGCGGCCUAGCGCGUCGACAGCGAGGACGAAUAGCUGUGGUGAUGUGGAGUCCCCUUGACGCAGCCCGCGACGGUGCCAAAUCGGGGGGCCAGGCACGCCAUUGAGCAUGACCCGCGUGCUGGCCGAGGAAAGGAGGAUGGCUAUCCACUCCCUGAACCUGUCCCCAAACCCAUAUUGGCGCAACAUCUCGAAGAGGAACGGUCAGGAUAUGGAGUCGAAAGCCCGCGUGAGAUCGAGCUUGAGCAUGAUGCACGGGGUGCCCAAGUGGUGAAGCAUCCGGAGAGACUGCCGAACGAGCAUGAAGUUGUCGUGGAGGGAGCAUCCGGCAAUGAAUGCGUUCUGGUUGCGGCUGACUAGGCUGUCCAGCUUGGGGGCGAUGCGCAACGACAGAACUUUCGCGAAUAGCUUGGCCAUGAUGUGGAUCAGGCAAAUAGGCCGGUAGUCGCCCAACUUUUGUGCAUCCACGCGCUUAGGCAGCAGGGUCAGGAGGGCUUGGUUGAGCUUAGCAAACCCUCUCCCACGAAGCAGGAAUAACUGCUCAAAGACAUCCAGGAUAUCCUGCCUAAUAACGCCCCAACAGGCCCCGCAAGAACUCUGCGGAGAACCCGUCUGGCCCUGGUGCCUUAUGCGCCGGCAUGUGCUGCACCGCAGCCCAGAUCUCCUCAGGGGUGAAGGGCGCAUCCAGGCUGCCAAGGUCAUCAGCCGUGACGAGCUGCUCGAGGUCCAGAGUGUGCUCUCGGUCCACGGCAGUGCCCAGCAGCCCGUCAAAGUGCGCGAAUGCCACGUGGGCCAUCUCCUCAUGCUCACAUAGCACAUGUCCGUCAACUAGGAGGCUGUGCACGCAGUUUUUCUGACGCCUGAACGUACACUGCUUGUGGAAGAAGCUCGUGUUGGCGUCACCCUCGGCCAGGAAGGAGAUGCGGGCGCGCUGCCGCGCGAUGGUGCGCUCCAGAGAAGCCAGCCCAAGGUACGCCACCUUGAGCUGCUUGCGUAGCCAGUCCUCUGCCGGAGAGAGCAGGCGACUCUCCAUCGCGUGGUUGAAGCGGGCGAUCAGCUCUCGACAUAUGGCCAAUUUGUCCCGGACAUUGCCCGUGGACCUAGCACUUCAACUCGUAAGGGCGCGGGCGGUGGCCUGCAGACGCCGAACCAGCCGCUGGAAGGGGUCGGGGUCAUGCACGGAGCUCCAGGCUGUGGCGACCGUGUCCUGAAAUCCAUCACGGUUGGGCCAGAAAGACUCGAAGCGGAAGCGUCUGUGGGCCGUGGGCAUGGGGGAGCAGUCCAACAGCAGGGGGCAAUGAUCAAACACGACAGAUGCAAGGCAUCUGAGGUGGCACUCUCCGUGGUAAUCCUCCCAGUCCGUAGUGCAGAGUACCCGAUCGAGGUCCACAAGCGUCGGCGGGGUCUGCUCAUUAGACCAUGUGAAGCGGCGCCCAUUCAGGUAUACCUCCUUCAGGGCAAGAUCGUUAAUGGCGCGGCGAAACCUUCCCAUCAUGCGGCGAUUCAGGGUACCGGCGCUCUUGUCCGCGUCACGGUAGAUGAGGUUGAAACCGCCGCAUAGCAUCCAAGGGCCCGGGCAAGCAGCCCGGAUGUCCCGCAGCUCUUGCAGGAACAGUAUCUUGUCGGGGUCGCUUUGAGGGCCAUACACCGUGGUAAGCCACCACGGUGCACCACUAGGCGCGCACACUUUAACUGUGAUCGCAUUUUGGGUGAAUAGGGGGUCGGAGAUGGUGACAACCCUACUCUUCCAAGCGAUGAGAAUACCGCCGCGGGUGCCGUCGGCAGGGAGAUAAGUAGAGCCAUCAAACUCGGAUCCAAGGGUGUCUAGCACAAUCGACGAGCAGACCAACGUCAUUUUAGUUUCCUGGAGGCAUACAAUGGACGCACUGGUGGUACAUAUCAGUGAGCGGAUGGCGCAGCGCCUAGCGCGCGAGUUCAAGCCCCUGACAUUCCAAACCACUAUCUGGGGUCCUGGAUACAUGAGCGCGAGGUCGACUACAGGCACCACCAGACUAGCGCGCGCAUGCCAUGGCAUCACCAACCGGCAUAGACAGGCCUGCAGGGAUCGCACGGUCUACAAGAGCGGCUAUAGCCUGCAGCGCCGGAAGCUUGAUCGGCGCGGCGAACAUGUCGUCAUAUGCUUUCAUCUCGACGGGGGUGAUCUGCUGAUUCGCGCCGACGAUCCCGAGAGUGCGUAGAAUCUGCACCACCGCCCUCCUGUCCGUAGUGCAGGCCGCGGGUGCCGGAGCGACGACGGCGGCGGAAUGCCCCCUCCUGGGACUGAAGUUGAGAGGGGGCCGCUGGCGUUUCCCGGGAGAUGGCAGCAUUGCAUCAAGCUGCUUAGUGGCUGCGGACAGGAAUGCCCCCAGCGUCCAUGUCUGUCCAGUGGCUACACAGGGUCGGCGUCUCUGCAGAGUAAGCGGCGGCGAUGCAAAGCGCCCUGGCAUCAAAGGCUGCGUCCGGUUGCUGAUGGGAAUCGCCCCCGGGUCCGGCUGGCAGGCAGGCCUCGGCAGGAUGGAGAUGUGGCCGCGACCGCGGGGGGGAUCCACUCCUGGUCCCUGCUGUUGUUGUGCGUCCAAGGGCACCACAGACCGAACAACAGGCGGGCCAUCGGGCGAGGGCAUUUCUUCUGCUGUGUGCGCCUCUGCAGGAGCAGGCGUGGCCCCAACGGGCAGGUGAUCCUCGGCUAGCGUCCCAGCAACAGCGACGUCAGCCACCAGCCCAGAGGACUUGGUCCCAGCGGCAUCCAAAGGCGCUGGCGCGGCGAUGGUGGUCACGACAGCCGCGGGCCCCGCCUCCAGAGAGCAGGCUGGUAGGGACGGGGCGGCGUCAGCAGGGCUGGCGGGGGAGGGCGAUGCGCGUCCCGCCCUUUCCUCAAAGGCGCGCGAAAUUAGCCGAGGGGGUUGGUCAAAGGGGGCCUUUGUUGGUGUGGCAGCGGCGAGGGAUGGGAUCGGCUCGAUUUGCCCCGACCGGGGUGCAGGCGGCGACCUCACGCGCUGCUCGGCGGGCCCCAGGCGCAGCAGGCACCGAUCCCGACAGGGCAUAGGAUCAGCUGCUGCAGAAGCGGGCCCGUCCGUAUCUGCUUCGGUCGUGCGCGACGUCGACGCCCCUGCCGCAUCGUGGCCCUGAGCAGCGAACGGGGGAGUGCCAACUGUCCCAAAGCGAACGGCCGAACCGUCCUCCACGCCUGUGCUCGCCACUUUGCGCGAGGGGCCCGCCGACAAAGACGCUUUGGGCGUCACGACGCGCGUCUGCUGGUGUCCUCUUCUGACGCCGUGACGAGGUGUGCUGGGCCCUGCUGACCGGGCCAGGUCAGCAUGCCAGCCCGCUUGGGGCACAGCCCCUGCCGCGACGCGGCCGGGUAUGGCCAGGGAGCCACCACGCCGGCGCCGUCUGCACGGCCGGAGCGGCCACGUGCGUGCGCGAGCGCGUCCACUGCCAUACCAUCGGCCCAGCCGUUCUGCGCCUCCGCCGUACGACGGCGUUUGCGACCACGCCGGCGAGCGCGCUCGAGCCCCGGACCAGGACCGUGACCGUGCCCAUUGCCGGGGCCAUGCCGGCCGUCUGCGCCACCGUCCUCACCGUCUCCGGCGCUGCCCGCAGCGUCCUGGGCGAUAGCCGGAGCAGCCCUGAUCAGCUCCGCCUUAGUGAGAGCAAUGGAGACGGGGAAGGUGAGCGUUCGGAUGUCUGGCGCCUCCGACGGGACACGGCCGGGCAGCUGCUCAAUGAUCUCCUGGGUGGCGGCGCGCCGGAUGUCAGCCGGGUCGUGGGCGCGCCCGGUGACGCGGAAGACGGCCAUGUCCUCGCGGGAACGCGUACGGGGGUGCAGGCGCUCGAUCCAGCAGCUGCCACCCAGCACGUGCUCCGCCGUGGAGAGCAGCCAGGCGUGGGCGGGGAUGCCGCGGAUCUCCAGCUCGACGCGGUACUCGAGCUCGCCAGCGCCGGCGUGGGCAAGCUUGCACCAGGGCCGAAGGGACAGGGCAAAGCGCGGCGAGCUGAGGAAGUGCUCGCCGCGGAACCUUCUCAUGGUUGCGAGGGAGGAGAAGAGAAUCAGGAAGUCCUCCGGGUGAUGCUGAUGGACCGAGAAGUCUCCCUCCUCCAGCUCCAGAGAGGACAUGACGAGCUCGGACACCUCGAUCAGGGACACAGAUGGCCGAGUGCCCGUGACGGUGGCCACCAUUGCGCGGCCGAGCACCAGCUCCGCCUCGUCCAUUUCUUCUGUCUGGGCCAGGAACACGCGGGCGGGGGCAUCAUCGGGUUGGCGAGGCCGCUGCAGGGGAGGGGCUACAGCGGUGGGGAUCGGAGCGGGCAAGCGCGUCGUCGGGGGGGGACGCCCUGGCAGGGGCACCGCGAGGGGGCUUGGGCUGCUGGUCCCCGGCGGCGCGCUGGGAGCGUUGGGGCGCCGCGGGUCGCCGACCAUCGCAGUCGCGGGAGGCGUGGCCAGAGGCGAGACAGCGGCGGCAGCGGAUGUCGUUGGGGCAGUCCCUGACGCAGUGGCGGUGAUCAAGGCACCGGAAGCAGAGGCCCGCGAGCUCCUCCGGGGAGGGGCUGCGGCGGCGCGCAGGCGAAGGCGCGGCCGGCGCAACGCGACGCGGGCGACGGGGCCGUUCUCUGCGACGAGGCUGUUGGAAGCCGUCGGCGUCGAGCACAGGGCCGCCCGAGACGCGAUGAACCUCCGAGCGGGGUCCGAGGCGCUCCUUGGCGGGUGUACGGGCUGCAGGCGCCAGGCGGCCGGAGGCGAGGGCGGUACGAGCGCGCUGAGGACUCGCUCUCCGAGCUCGACCAGCGGUCCCCGUAGGAGACACGCUCGCCGGAGAGGGUCUCGCGGCGGUCGACAGGGUCAGCCCCCACUGGAGUCAUGUCGCGGGAGGGGAGGGCCGCGGGGGAGGUCCGGCCGGCGGGGACGGAGGCGGCGUUGGCGGCGCGGCGCAGCAGUCAGGCUAGCGGGCUAGAGCACUGGACCAUCUGGAAGGGCACUUUCUUCCUUGUUGUCAACCUUGGCUACACUACAUUCAAAGAGCCCAUGUACGGAGUAGCUCCCUACCGAUUUCCUGAAACCCCUGCUGUUCACACAAACUACACCCCAAUAACUAUAUUCUCCUUUUAUGUCUUUCCAAAAUUUUCAAAUUUCCUUGGCUUUUUAGUUCCUUCGUUUGUUUGAAAUAAAACCUAUGUACCUGAAUACUGCUGUGUACCAUCCAUACUUGUUGGAACUAGUUUGACUGAUAACUGGCCAUUAUCCAACUGAAAGGAUGACCUUUUUUUUAAACUAUGUUGGAUUAUUCUAAUUUAGUUUUGCCAAUUCCUUUGACAUUUUUUACCAGGCAUUGAUGUAUCCUCUUUUGGUUGCUUGCAAAUCAAUAAGUAUAUUAAGGCAACGUGCAGCACAGGAGGUCGUUGAUAAGAUCCGCCAGCAUAGUGGAGGCCUUGUUGAUCAGGUUAGCAUCAGUAUAUGUUAAGCUUCUAAGGAAGACACAUAGCACUCCUGACUGUUGAUGUUGGUUGCUCCAGGCGCAGCUUGUUUCAAAGGAACUGAUACGAGUUGCCAUUUUGUGGCAUGAGAUGUGGCAUGAAGCUCUCGAGGAAGCUAGCAGGAUGUAUUUUGGUGAGCACAAUAUUGAUGGAAUGCUUGCGGUACUGGAGCCAUUGCAUGCAAUGCUUGAGAGAGGGCCUGAGACAAUAAAAGAGAACACUUUCAUUCAGGUAGUGUCAUCACCAAACUUACCUCCAGUCCCCACCACACUAUAUCGUUACACAAAUAUAUUUCUCUUGCUAAUGUUUGGGUUACUUUUCAUGAAAAUGCAUUUUGUCCUUAUAUCUUGGUGUGUUUUAUACAGUAAAUCUUUUGGUGCCUUCACCCUAUUGAAUUAUCAACUUGACAUUGAACAUCAAAUUCAGUUUGUUUUGUUAGUGUUUAAUAGCUUAUGCUAUUGAAACUUAUCCAGGCCUAUGGACAUGAAUUACUUGAAGCCCAUGAAUGCUGCUUAAAAUAUCGCGCUACUGGAGAGGAUGCUGAGCUAACUAAGGUAUAUAAGAGUGUCAAUACAAUAAUUUCUUUAUUGUGUUUUCUUGAGUACUGCUGAGGAUGACUUCUGUGUUCUUUAGGCAUGGGAUUUGUAUUACCAUGUUUUCAGAAGAAUCGACAAACAGCUUCCAAGUCUUACAACUCUUGAUUUGCAUGUAAGCAUGUUAUAUGAUUGUUUCCCUGCAGUUUGUUUCCUUUGGCUCCUUGAUUGAACAUUUGAUGUCUCUUUCAGUCUGUUUCACCUGAGCUGCUCAAGUGUCGAAAGUUGGAGCUUGCUGUACCAGGAACUUAUUCUGCAGGUAUUCUACAGGGUUAUAUCAUUUAUUUAAAAUUUUAGUUCUCUACUUUUUACGGAACCUAGUACUCUUUUCUUUUGCCUUACCAAUUCUACAGAACUCCAAAAGAUCUUCACAAUUGUGAGAUGGGUUAUUUGUAGCAUACAUGGGUUAUUUGUACCAAGUACCCCCAACAUUUUAAUUAUCCACUAGUUUGUGUUAUCUCAUGAACAUCCCUUGUCUGUAUAUGAUAGGUCCCUACUGGAACCAUGCAAUAAAAUGUUGAGUGAUGGCAACAAUAAGACAAUUUAUUUAGAUCUUUUGAGAAACGUGCCUUUCAUUUGGUUGUAUAAGAAUGCUGACAUUAAGAAUUAAACUUUGCUUCCAUAUUCACCAGUAUUGAGUUCUGCAAUUGAUUGUUAAAUUGACUUAGAAUUCUGACAUUAAGAAUUAAACUUUGCUUCCAGAUUCACCACUAGUGACUAUUGAGUAUUUUGUUCCGCAAUUGAUUGUUAUUACAUCCAAACAAAGACCGAGGAAACUGACAAUUCAUGGAAGUGAUGGCGAGGAUUAUGCAUUCUUGCUUAAAGGUCAUGAAGAUUUAAGGCAAGAUGAACGCGUUAUGCAGGUUUGUAUCUAAAUUGCAAGUCUUUUUCACGCUGUUUUGACUAUUGUUUUGGUAGCAAUAGAGCACAGAUUAGCAAGCAUAUUUUUAUAUGUUGUGCCCAUGAAUAGUUUUGUCCUCCACUGUCCCCUUACCUGAGGCCAGCUCUUUGUUUUUCCUGCACCCUUGUGGUUUACCAUCUGAACCGUAACCGAUUCCUCAUCAUUAUAUCUUUAUUUGUUUCACCUGAGGCCAUCUUCUUUUCCGUAUCUUGAUCUGAAAUAGAAAGCUUGAAAAACACCACGAGUCCAAAACAAAAACUGUUCCCAUGCCCAUGCUUAGUUAAGUAGCCUGAUCUUACAUAGUGAUGCACAGGAUGAACUCAGACGAACGCUUAGUUAACAAAUUGUUCUUGAGGGCCUGAUAAUACUGAUGUACUGUUGAUAAGCUGGAGCCCCUCUCUGGCAUUCAUGCAAUUAACAUGGGCAUAAUCUGUUAAUCUGGUGGUGUCCUCGCAAGCUGAAAUAGCCUCUAGAUAUUACAAGCUACCAACAAAAAAUAUGUAUCUAAAUAUCUUUCCUCUAUACUUAGCUUUUUGGUCUGGUGAAUACUCUCCUGGAGAACUCAAGGAAAACAUCAGAGAAAGAUUUGUCGAUCCAAAGAUAUGCUGUUAUUCCCUUGUCUCCUAACAGUGGAUUAAUUGGAUGGGUACCUAAUUGUGACACGCUUCAUGCUCUGAUCCGUGAAUACAGAGAUGCAAGGAAGGUUAGUCUGCCUCAAUAAUUUGUUUCCUUCUGAAAGAAGAUAAACAUGUUCUGCUUGAUGUCAUUUCUCAAUUAAUUCCCCUCUUCUUUGUUCAGAUUUUCUUAAAUCAAGAGCACAGACUUAUGUUGGCGUUUGCACCUGAUUAUGACCACUUACCCCUCAUCGCGAAGGUGGAAGUAUUUCAGCAUGCUCUGCAGAAUACCGAAGGAAAUGACCUUGCAAAGGUACUAUGCUGUCUCUAGUCACUGCACUAUGAAAAAAGCUCGCUGAUUUUGAUGCUUUCUGGUGACAAUAUUUAAUCUACCUCAACAAAAUUGUGAUAGGUUCUCUGGCUGAAAAGUCGAACAUCCGAAGUAUGGCUUGAGCGGCGUACAAAUUAUACAAGAAGCCUGGCUGUUAUGAGCAUGGUAUGAAUUACUGCUAUGAUAUGUGUUUUCGUAUGAAAUAUUCCUUUUGACUUAAGAUGGUGAAAAUGUAAUUUUGCAGGCUGGCUAUUUGCUUGGGUUAGGAGAUCGGCAUCCAAGCAAUCUUAUGUUGGAUCGUUUUAGGUAAUUUCUGCGAAGCUUGAAGUAACCAUAUGUAAUGUUGUGAAUUUGUUCUGUUGUCUAGAGGCCUAAUAGUAAUUUUUUGCUUCAGUGGGAAAAUUUUGCACAUUGACUUUGGAGAUUGUUUUGAGGCAUCAAUGAAUCGAGAAAAGUUCCCUGAAAAAGUAAGUAGGCCGUGUUGUGGGCUUUAUUCCUUGCCAAUCACCUGAUAGGUUGAUGCUAUCGUUUAGUUGAAUCUUGUCUCGUAUUGUAACUGUUAUUGAAUGUGUCAUUUUAACUUUUUUUACUACACUUCCGCAUUUUGUAUGCAUGGUGUAGGUACCAUUCCGUUUGACUAGAAUGCUCGUUAAAGCUAUGGAAGUUAGUGGUAUCGAGGGUACUUUCAGAACAACUUGUGAAAAUGUGAUGCAAGUCCUUCGAACAAACAAGGACAGCGUCAUGGCUAUGAUGGAGGUAAGUAAUACACAUUCUAUAGCCUGUAGCACCUUGCCUGGCCAAUAUUAUAUACUCCCCCUGUCCCAAAAUAUAGUGCUUAUUGUAUUUUUUUAAAGUCAAAUUUUGACCCAGUAUAUAAAGAAUGCCAAAUCAAUACCCUUGGAUUCAUCAUGAAAUAUAUUUUCAUAUGAUGUAUAUUUGGUAUUAUACAUAUAGAUAUUUUUUUUCUAUAAAAUAGGUCAAAAGUUUGUAAAGCUUGACUUUUACGAUACCAACUCGCACUAUAUUAUGAGAUGGAGUGAGUAUUUAAAUAUUGAAAUAAAAAGAAUCUGCUUUUUUAGACCCUGCCUCGAGUCCACAUUUCGUCCUAACACUUUAAACUGUUUGUUUUUUCCUUCCCUGCGAGUAUACAUGAUCAGUCCCUGCUUUUUUAGGCCCUAAGCUUGCCUCAAGUCUGUUAAGCUUCAUGCACAGCCAACGCAACCAAAAGUCCGAACUGAUAGAAAGGGCUAGGCAAUCCACAUAUAGUGUAACACCCCCUCUCAUGUGUGACGGGGAAGACAAGUCAACACGUGCAACCGGAAAAAAGCGACGGCGCGCGAAGCUCACGUAUGACUCAAGAGGCCUCUACAUGGACACAAAGGGGGGCUACCAGCGAUUUUUGAUAAAUUGCGAAAGCCAGGACUUGAACUCAAGACCUUAGCUCCGAUACCAUGUUAAGCUUCAUGCACUAGCCAACGCAACCAAAAGUCCGAACUGAUAGAAAGGGCUAGUCAAUCCACAUAUAGUGUAACAGAGUCCACAUUUCGUCCUAACACUUUAAACUGCUUGUUUUUCCUUCCCCGCGAGUAUAGCAUGAUGAGCCCAGGUUGCCCUGAGCUUUUAAACAGUCCACUUUACACCCUUAUCUGAUUUUAGGGCAUCUCCAAC